CAGCAGCCGCGGUAAAACGGAGGGAGCUAGCGUUGUUCGGAAUCACUGGGCGUAAAGCGCACGUAGGCGGCUAUUCAAGUCAGGGGUGAAAGCCCGGGGCUCAACCCCGGAACUGCCUUUGAAACUAGAUAGCUUGAAUCUUGGAGAGGCGAGUGGAAUUCCGAGUGUAGAGGUGAAAUUCGUAGAUAUUCGGAAGAACACCAGCGGCGAAGGCGACUCGCUGGACAAGUAUUGACGCUGAGGUGCGAAAGCGUGGGGAGCAAACAGGAUUAGAUACCCCAGUAGUCCCUGUCUCUUAUAC
RNAcentral lists this ribosomal RNA (301 nucleotides) under uncultured bacterium. Its description in RNAcentral is "partial 16S ribosomal RNA". It matches the Rfam family "Bacterial small subunit ribosomal RNA", at positions 509 to 807 of the family's 1533-position model. The record is from RNAcentral.